GAUGAACGCUGGCGGCGUGCCUAAUACAUGCAAGUCGAGCGAACAGACGAGGAGCUUGCUCCUCUGACGUUAGCGGCGGACGGGUGAGUAACACGUGGAUAACCUACCUAUAAGACUGGGAUAACUUCGGGAAACCGGAGCUAAUCCCGGAUAAUAUAUUGAACCGCAUGGUUCAAUAGUGAAAGACGGCUUUGCUGUCACUUAUAGAUGGAUCCGCGCCGCAUUAGCUAGUUGGUAAGGUAACGGCUUACCAAGGCAACGAUGCGUAGCCGACCUGAGAGAGUGGUCGGCCACACUGGAAGUGGGACACGGUCCAGACUCCUACGGGAGGCAGCAGUAGGGAAUCUUCGGCAGUAGGCGAAAGCCUGGCGGAGCAACGCCACGUGAGUGAUAGAGGUCUUCGGAUCGUAAAACUCUGUUAUUAGGGAAGAACAAAUGUGUAAGUAACUAUGCACGUCUUGACGGUACCUAAUCAGAAAGCCACGGCUAACUACGUG
This 497-nucleotide ribosomal RNA is filed under the name uncultured bacterium. Its description in RNAcentral is "partial 16S ribosomal RNA". It matches the Rfam family "Bacterial small subunit ribosomal RNA", at positions 28 to 507 of the family's 1533-position model. The record is from RNAcentral.